GGAGCUAACGCGUUAAGUCGACCGCCUGGGGAGUACGGCCGCAAGGUUAAAACUCAAAUGAAUUGACGGGGGCCCGCACAAGCGGUGGAGCAUGUGGUUUAAUUCGAUGCAACGCGAAGAACCUUACCUGGUCUUGACAUCCACAGAACUUUCCAGAGAUGGAUUGGUGCCUUCGGGAACUGUGAGACAGGUGCUGCAUGGCUGUCGUCAGCUCGUGUUGUGAAAUGUUGGGUUAAGUCCCGCAACGAGCGCAACCCUUAUCCUUUGUUGCCAGCGGUCCGGCCGGGAACUCAAAGGAGACUGCCAGUGAUAAACUGGAGGAAGGUGGGGAUGACGUCAAGUCAUCAUGGCCCUUACGACCAGGGCUACACACGUGCUACAAUGGCGCAUACAAAGAGAAGCAAUCUCGCGAGAGCUAGCGGACCUCAUAAAGUGCGUCGUAGUCCGGAUUGGAGUCUGCAACUCGACUCCAUGAAGUCGGAAUCGCUAGUAAUCGUGAAUCAGAAUGUCACGGUGAAUACGUUCCCGGGCCUUGUACACACCGCCCGUCACACCAUGGGAGUGGGUUGCAAAAGAAGUAGGUAGCUUAA
Molecule: ribosomal RNA, 590 nt
Filed under: bacterium
Lineage: Bacteria
Description: bacterial SSU rRNA
Rfam family: Bacterial small subunit ribosomal RNA
Source: RNAcentral